CACCGAUAUGCUUUGGGGAGCUGUACGUAAGCGUUGAUCCAGAGAUUUCCGAAUGGGGGAACCCACUAUCUUUAGUCGGAUAGUAUCCUUACGUGAAUACAUAGCGUGAGGAAGGCAGACCCAGGGAACUGAAACAUCUAAGUACCUGGAGGAAGAGAAAGAAAAAUCGAUUUCCUGAGUAGCGGCGAGCGAAACGGAAAGAGCCCAAACCAAGAAGCUUGCUUCUUGGGGUUGUAGGACACUCUAUACGGAGUUACAAAAGAAAGUUAUAAAUGAAGCGGUCUGGAAAGGCCCGCCAAAGACGG
This 305-nucleotide ribosomal RNA is filed under the name Listeria monocytogenes. RNAcentral's name for it is "partial 23S ribosomal RNA". It matches the Rfam family "Bacterial large subunit ribosomal RNA", at positions 66 to 364 of the family's 2925-position model. The record is from RNAcentral. Lineage: Bacteria; Bacillati; Bacillota; Bacilli; Caryophanales; Listeriaceae.